RNAcentral lists this long non-coding RNA (694 nucleotides) under Mytilus galloprovincialis (Mediterranean mussel). Lineage: Eukaryota; Metazoa; Mollusca; Bivalvia; Mytilida; Mytilidae. The record is from RNAcentral.
GGCAUAUCUAGACCUUUUACUUCUUGUCUUGGUAGGAAGCCAUACCAAUGAAAUACAACUUUUUUUCCGUUUAGUGUUGAUUAGGUCAUAAACAUGUCAGCUAAAGAAAAAAAUUACAUAAACAAAUGUUAUAAACGUAUCUUGAAUCGUAAAAUAUUUUUUAUCAAAAGCCAGCCCAGCAUGAAAUUAUUAUUUCCUGUAUGUACGAGAGUUAUGAGUAUAUAAAAUGAACACUUUAUCAUAGCAUAUCAAUACCGGAAAUCUGUCUUUCAUCGAUUAAAAUAUUGUUUUAUUUGAUUUAAAAGAUAAAAAAAUUGUACAGUUAAGGUUUUAAAGAUUAAAUGGGGGUAAUCCUGCCUGCAGUUGUAGUUCAUAGUGCAUUUGCCCUGUGACAACUAAAAUUGUAUUCUCAGAUUUGGCGACGUUCAAUAUGGUCUCUAGAUCAUAUCAGAAGUCAAACCUACAUGGGGAUAUUUCCAUGUCUUUAUUUUGACAAUGGUUGUUUUUUUUCGUUAGACACUUAAAUUUGUGGAUAAAGUCAUCCACGAAAAUCACGAAAAUUGGUUCCCCACGAACAAAAGUACUUUCACAGUAUCAAAAUUAAGAGUUGAAACAGAAUUGUGUUAGACAAUGAAAAAGAAUGUAUCCAUAGUACAUGGAUGCCUCACUUGCACUGUCUUUUUCUAUGUUCAGU